CCUACGGGAGGCAGCAGUGAGGAAUAUUGGUCAAUGGGCGAGAGCCUGAACCAGCCAAGUCGCGUGAAGGAUGACGGCCCUACGGGUUGUAAACUUCUUUUGUCAGGGAGCAAGUGGGGCCACGCGUGGGCUUAGCGAGAGUACCUGAAGAAAAAGCAUCGGCGAACUCCGUGCCAGCAGCCGCGGUAAUACGGAGGAUGCGAGCGUUAUCCGGAUUUAUUGGGUUGAAAGGGUGCGUAGGCGGAAUAUCAAGGCAGCGGUUAAAAUUCGGGGCUCAACCCCGUCGUGCCGUUGAAACUUCUGUUCUUGAGUGGGCGAGACGUAUGCGGCAUGCGUGGUGUAGCGGU
This 347-nucleotide ribosomal RNA is filed under the name uncultured bacterium. Its description in RNAcentral is "partial 16S ribosomal RNA". It matches the Rfam family "Bacterial small subunit ribosomal RNA", at positions 338 to 682 of the family's 1533-position model. The record is from RNAcentral.